GUUGAUCUUUAUGCUUCUUUUCAUUCCUAGUAACCUGUGGGGCAGAACUGCUGUGAACUGAAGAUUGGAGGUUGGUGGGAAAGGAAAGCUAUGCCUGGCCAUGUAUCCAGGAGUAUUGCAUAGUGCCUAUAUUUCUUUUGUGUUUGUUCUUUCCUUGUCUUGGACAAAUAAGUAUUCUGAGAAGAAAGUAGCAAGGCAACUGGUAUAUCCAUCUAAGCUAUCUGAGGUGCUACUGACAACCAGAGUGGGUAAGAGCGUUCACCAGGAGAGCAAUGACUAAUAAACGAGAAAGCUCUUGCAAUGAGAGGCAAAGACUUCAUUGAGAAGGCGGCAGUCGCUGGGAUUAUGAUUCCUCAUGACGGAAAAAAUGCUGGCUCUAAAUUCUAAAAAGGCUCUGAUCUUUACAACCAAGCCCAGAGCGAUCCCUAAGAAGUCUCAUGAAAACUUCUCAAAGAGAGAAAAGGACUACUGGGUCCAGGAUUCAGGAAGUAUCCCCUUAGCUUUACAUGUUCUCUACAAGGGGAUGGAGAAAAAUGCUUCCAUCAUUACCAAUAACCAGCUGUCACCAAGGGACAAAUAUGUCUGAGUCCUUGGAAUAAUAGUACUCUCCAGAACACCAACCUUGCUUCUGUCCUGCCCUCAAGGCCAUCAUUCAGAGAAGCAACUCUUGUGGUAAUAUAAUCUAUCAACUGCCUCUCUGGGUGCUGCAGGCUCCUGUUUCCUCAGAGCUACUGAAGUCCCAGAGAAGAAAGUUCUCAUCACUGAAGCCCUCGGUUCCAUCAAAUGCUUCAACAUUAGAAAUAGUUAUUGUUUUAUCCAUGGAAAUGAUACUAAAGUUGAUUUUUGCCAUCUACGUUUGUACUGUAUCCUAGGACCGCUGAACCCUUCCAUCUGACAUGGAUCUGAAAUUUCUAUAUGGUUUUCUUCUUUUCAAAUGUGAGGUCUGUGAGAGCAGACACUGUCUUGCUUGUUUUGUUUUUUUUUUUUUUGGUAUUCCCAAAGCAUAUAAUAAAUAUAUGCUUAAUAAAUGUUUCUUCA
Molecule: long non-coding RNA, 1038 nt
Filed under: Monodelphis domestica (gray short-tailed opossum)
Lineage: Eukaryota; Metazoa; Chordata; Mammalia; Didelphimorphia; Didelphidae
Description: lncRNA (ENSMODG00000038310.1)
Source: RNAcentral